CGGCACGGGUGAGUAACGCGUGGGUAACCUGCCUUGUACUGGGGGACAACAGUUGGAAACGACUGCUAAUACCGCAUAAGCGCACAGCUUCGCAUGAAGCAGUGUGAAAAACUCCGGUGGUACAAGAUGGACCCGCGUCUGAUUAGCUGGUUGGUGAGGUAACGGCCCACCAAGGCGACGAUCAGUAGCCGGCCUGAGAGGGUGAACGGCCACAUUGGGACUGAGACACGGCCCAA
RNAcentral lists this ribosomal RNA (236 nucleotides) under uncultured bacterium. RNAcentral's name for it is "partial 16S ribosomal RNA". It matches the Rfam family "Bacterial small subunit ribosomal RNA", at positions 100 to 334 of the family's 1533-position model. The record is from RNAcentral.